RNAcentral lists this ribosomal RNA (383 nucleotides) under uncultured eukaryote. RNAcentral's name for it is "partial 18S ribosomal RNA". It matches the Rfam family "Eukaryotic small subunit ribosomal RNA", at positions 592 to 976 of the family's 1831-position model. The record is from RNAcentral.
CAAUAGCGUAUAUUAAAGUUGUUGCAGUUAAAAAGCUCGUAGUUGGAUUUCUGGUGGGAGCGAUCGGUCUGGCGCUUAGCGCGAGUACUUGCAUCGUCUCCGGCCAUCCUUGGGGAGAGUCUGUCUGGCAUUAGGUUGGCGGGCAGAGGAUCCUCAUCGUUUACUGUGAAAAAAUUAGAGUGUUCAAAGCAGGCUUAUGCCGUUGAAUAUAUUAGCAUGGAAUAAUAAGAUAGGACUUUGGUACUAUUUUGUUGGUUUGCGCACCAAAGUAAUGAUUAAUAGGGACAGUUGGGGGUAUUCGUAUUCCGUUGUCAGAGGUGAAAUUCUUGGAUUUACGGAAGACGAACUACUGCGAAAGCAUUUACCAAGGAUGUUUUCAUUAA